UACAGAGGUGGCAAGCGUUGUUCGGAAUUACUGGGCGUAAAGCGUGCGCAGGCGGUGAUGUAAGACAGUUGUGAAAUCCCCGGGCUCAACCUGGGAACUGCAUCUGUGACUGCAUUGCUGGAGUGCGGCAGAGGGGGAUGGAAUUCCGCGUGUAGCAGUGAAAUGCGUAGAUAUGCGGAGGAACACCGAUGGCGAAGGCAAUCCCCUGGGCCUGCACUGACGCUCAUGCACGAAAGCGUGGGGAGCAAACAGG
This 253-nucleotide ribosomal RNA is filed under the name uncultured bacterium. RNAcentral's name for it is "partial 16S ribosomal RNA". It matches the Rfam family "Bacterial small subunit ribosomal RNA", at positions 524 to 776 of the family's 1533-position model. The record is from RNAcentral.